GUAGGUGGCAAGCGUUGUCCGGAAUUAUUGGGCGUAAAGCGCGCGCAGGCGGUUCUUUAAGUCUGAUGUGAAAGCCCACGGCUCAACCGUGGAGGGUCAUUGGAAACUGGAGAACUUGAGUACAGAAGAGGAAAGCGGAAUUCCACGUGUAGCGGUGAAAUGCGUAGAGAUGUGGAGGAACACCAGUGGCGAAGGCGGCUUUCUGGUCUGUAACUGACGCUGAGGCGCGAAAGCGUGGGGAGCAAACAGGAUUAGAUACCCUGGUAGUCCACGCCGUAAACGAUGAGUGCCCAAGUGUUAGGGGGGUUUUCCGCCCCCCCGUUAGUCGCUGCAGCUAACGCAUUAAGCACUCCCGCCUGGGAGUACGGCCGCAAGGCUG
This 379-nucleotide ribosomal RNA is filed under the name uncultured organism. Its description in RNAcentral is "partial 16S ribosomal RNA". It matches the Rfam family "Bacterial small subunit ribosomal RNA", at positions 527 to 896 of the family's 1533-position model. The record is from RNAcentral.